GUAUCCUGUCUGAAUAUGGGGGGACCAUCCUCCAAGGCUAAAUACUCCUGACUGACCGAUAGUGAACCAGUACCGUGAGGGAAAGGCGAAAAGAACCCCGGCGAGGGGAGUGAAAAAGAACCUGAAACCGUGUACGUACAAGCAGUGGGAGCACGCUUAGGCGUGUGACUGCGUACCUUUUGUAUAAUGGGUCAGCGACUUAUAUUCUGUAGCAAGGUUAACCGAAUAGGGGAGCCGAAGGGAAACCGAGUCUUAACUGGGCGUUAAGUUGCAGGGUAUAGACCCGAAACCCGGUGAUCUAGCCAUGGGCAGGUUGAAGGUUGGGUAACACUAACUGGAGGACCGAACCGACUAAUGUUGAAAAAUUAGCGGAUGACUUGUGGCUGGGGGUGAAAGGCCAAUCAAACCGGGAGAUAGCUGGUUCUCCCCGAAAGCUAUUUAGGUAGCGCCUCGUGAAUUCAUCUCCGGGGGUAGAGCACUGUUUCGGCAAGGGGGUCAUCCCGACUUACCAACCCGAUGCAAACUGCGAAUACCGGAGAAUGUUAUCACGGGAGACACACGGCGGGUGCUAACGUCCGUCGUGAAGAGGGAAACAACCCAGACCGCCAGCUAAGGUCCCAAAGUCAUGGUUAAGUGGGAAACGAUGUGGGAAGGCCCAGACAGCCAGGAUGUUGGCUUAGAAGCAGCCAUCAUUUAAAGAAAGCGUAAUAGCUCACUGGUCGAGUCGGCCUGCGCGGAAGAUGUAACGGGGCUAAACCAUGCACCGAAGCUGCGGCAGCGACGCUGAUGCGUUGUUGGGUAGGGGAGCGUUCUGUAAGCCUGUGAAGGUGUGCUGUGAGGCAUGCUGGAGGUAUCAGAAGUGCGAAUGCUGACAUAAGUAACGAUAAAGCGGGUGAAAAGCCCGCUCGCCGGAAGACCAAGGGUUCCUGUCCAACGUUAAUCGGGGCAGGGUGAGUCGACCCCUAAGGCGAGGCCGAAAGGCGUAGUCGAUGGGAAACAGGUUAAUAUUCCUGUACUUGGUGUUACUGCGAAGGGGGGACGGAGAAGGCUAUGUUGGCCGGGCGACGGUUGUCCCGGUUUAAGCGUGUAGGCUGGUUUUCCAGGCAAAUCCGGAAAAUCAAGGCUGAGGCGUGAUGACGAGGCACUACGGUGCUGAAGCAACAAAUGCCCUGCUUCCAGGAAAAGCCUCUAAGCAUCAGGUAACAUCAAAUCGUACCCCAAACCGACACAGGUGGUCAGGUAGAGAAUACCAAGGCGCUUGAGAGAACUCGGGUGAAGGAACUAGGCAAAAUGGUGCCGUAACUUCGGGAGAAGG
This 1315-nucleotide ribosomal RNA is filed under the name Escherichia coli. RNAcentral's name for it is "partial 23S ribosomal RNA". It matches the Rfam family "Bacterial large subunit ribosomal RNA", at positions 429 to 1746 of the family's 2925-position model. Lineage: Bacteria; Pseudomonadati; Pseudomonadota; Gammaproteobacteria; Enterobacterales; Enterobacteriaceae. The record is from RNAcentral.